AUUGAACGCUGGCGGCAUGCUUUACACAUGCAAGUCGAACGGCAGCGCGGGCUUCGGCCUGGCGGCGAGUGGCGAACGGGUGAGUAAUACAUCGGAACGUGCCCAGUAGUGGGGGAUAGCUCGGCGAAAGCCGGAUUAAUACCGCAUACGACCUGAGGGUGAAAGCGGGGGAUCUUCGGACCUCGCGCUAUUGGAGCGGCCGAUGGCAGAUUAGCUAGUUGGUGGGGUAAAGGCCUACCAAGGCGACGAUCUGUAGCUGGUCUGAGAGGACGACCAGCCACACUGGGACUGAGACACGGCCCAGACUCCUACGGGAGGCAGCAGUGGGAAAUUUUGGACAAUGGGCGAAAGCCUGAUCCAGCAAUGCCGCGUGUGUGAUGAAGGCCUUCGGGUUGUAAAGCACUUUUGGCGGGAACGAAAAGGACUGUGCCAAUACCACGGUUCGAUGACGGUACCCGCAGAAUAAGCACCGGCUAACUACGUG
Molecule: ribosomal RNA, 484 nt
Filed under: uncultured bacterium
Lineage: Bacteria
Description: partial 16S ribosomal RNA
Rfam family: Bacterial small subunit ribosomal RNA
Source: RNAcentral